AUUGAGAGGAGUUUUAUUUCGAUUUUGAUUGCAGAAUGGAAUGGGAAUGGCUCAAUCUAUAUAAAAUUCAAUCUUUACUCUUCUCUAUGAAUUUAAAUUUUCAUUCGAUUUUGGUUCCGACAGUCACGAAUCAAAUACUUUGAAAAAUUUGACCAUUCCGAUUCUGAUUCCAAAUCAUUUUGAUUUUCAUUCCUAUUUUAAUUUUGGAUACGAGACAAACACCCC
Molecule: long non-coding RNA, 225 nt
Filed under: Elaeis guineensis (African oil palm)
Lineage: Eukaryota; Viridiplantae; Streptophyta; Magnoliopsida; Arecales; Arecaceae
Description: long non-coding RNA (EGUI_LNC020106)
Source: RNAcentral